AACACGUGGGUAACCUGCCCGCGGGUGGGGGAUAACCCUCCGAAAGGAGGGUUAAUACCGCAUAACAUCUCGAGCUCUUCGGCGCACGAGAUCAAAGCUUGCCUCUUCUUGAAAGCAAGCACCUGUGGAGGGGCCCGCGCCCCAUUAGCUUGUUGGUGAGGUAACGGCUCACCAAGGCCGCGAUGGGUAGCCGACCUGAGAGGGUGAUCGGCCACACUGGAACUGAGACACGGUCCAG
This 238-nucleotide ribosomal RNA is filed under the name uncultured bacterium. Its description in RNAcentral is "partial 16S ribosomal RNA". It matches the Rfam family "Bacterial small subunit ribosomal RNA", at positions 112 to 334 of the family's 1533-position model. The record is from RNAcentral.